RNAcentral lists this ribosomal RNA (495 nucleotides) under uncultured bacterium. Its description in RNAcentral is "bacterial SSU rRNA". It matches the Rfam family "Bacterial small subunit ribosomal RNA", at positions 78 to 572 of the family's 1533-position model. The record is from RNAcentral.
AUAUUACCUGUCGGCGACCGGCGCACGGGUGCGUAACGCGUAUGCAACCUACCAUCAACAGGGGGAUAACACUGAGAAAUUGGUACUAAUACCCCAUAAUAUCUCAUGCGGCAUCGCAUGGGGUUGAAAACUCCGGUGGUUGAUGAUGGGCAUGCGUUGUAUUAGCUGGUUGGUGAGGUAACGGCUCACCAAGGCGACGAUACAUAGGGGGACUGAGAGGUUAACCCCCCACAUUGGUACUGAGACACGGACCAAACUCCUACGGGAGGCAGCAGUGAGGAAUAUUGGUCAAUGGACGCAAGUCUGAACCAGCCAUGCCGCGUGCAGGAUGACGGCUCUAUGAGUUGUAAACUGCUUUUGUACGAGGGUAAACCCCGAUACGUGUAUCGGGUUGAAAGUAUCGUACGAAUAAGGAUCGGCUAACUCCGUGCCAGCAGCCGCGGUAAUACGGAGGAUCCGAGCGUUAUCCGGAUUUAUUGGGUUUAAAGGGUGCGU